AUUUGGGAGCAAGUUAGAUCUGACAACCUAGGAACCCAGAGGAGAGAACCAUGUCUUGACUGACAUGUGAACCGGAUUCAAGAAAGUCCCAGUUGCAAUCAUCAGCCUCAUUCUGUCUUCCUGAGUCAUGAAAUCCAGUGGCAAGACAAAAGUCAAAAUGACUGACAAUGAAAAGAGUCUGGGAUGCAGCAAGACACAAAUUCCAUAAAUUUAGGUGUUAGCAGUCUCCAGCUCCUAAACCCCUGCUUCAUGUCCCAAUUUGGAAGAAGCAGAGAAAAAGUCCUGGACUUGUAUACUGAGAACUUGGAUUCAGAUGGCAGCUCUGCUACUUACUAUUUAUGGGGGCUUGAGCGAAUGUCUUUCCUUCCUUGGGGCUCAGUUCCUUCUUCUGUAAGAUGAGAAAAUGAAGAUAAAUACUCACUUUGCUCUAUCUCUCAAUCCUAGGAUCAGUACAAACUCCCAUACUUACCCCAAUGGCAGUAUACUCAGUGGAGUGCUGGUAAAUGACUAAUAAGCCGCUCUUCCAGGAAACAAACAAGCAGGACAUAGUUUUAAGUCCCAUGUGCAUUAUUAGGAAUCUGUAUUAUUGACAUUUUCUCUGUCACUUGUUAAGUGUAGAAAUCACCAAAAACAAUAAAUGGAGCGAGCCCCUCCA
This 655-nucleotide long non-coding RNA is filed under the name Monodelphis domestica (gray short-tailed opossum). Its description in RNAcentral is "lncRNA (ENSMODG00000049226.1)". Lineage: Eukaryota; Metazoa; Chordata; Mammalia; Didelphimorphia; Didelphidae. The record is from RNAcentral.